GUUGCUGUUUGUAUUUAGGAUGUGGUCUCGCACUUUUUUCUCCUCUACCAUCUAUGCCUGCGAACUUUUUUCUCCUCUACCAUCUAUGCCUGCGAAAUUGCGAGAGCAAUUAUUUUAGUUCCUUGGUCGGAAGUCGGGAUGGUGGGAUUGUUGGUCUGGUUACUGACUUACUGUGCCCAGUUGGGGUUUGCUGUCACCGGGCCCAAGUUUUCAUCAAAUUUCUCUGGUUUUUUGAUACCUGAAGGUAACUAAAAUCUGGAUCAUCUAAU
Molecule: long non-coding RNA, 269 nt
Filed under: Populus trichocarpa (black cottonwood)
Lineage: Eukaryota; Viridiplantae; Streptophyta; Magnoliopsida; Malpighiales; Salicaceae
Description: long non-coding RNA (PTRI_LNC002611)
Source: RNAcentral